ACGCUCGACACCUACGGGGGGCAGCAGUGGGGAAUAUUGCACAAUGGGGGGAACCCUGAUGCAGCGACGCCGCGUGAGGGAAGAAGGUUUUCGGAUUGUAAACCUCUGUCCUUGGUGACGAUAAUGACGGUAGCCAAGGAGGAAGCCACGGCUAACUACGUGCCAGCAGCCACGGUAAUCUGAGCGGGCUGGCAAGGC
Molecule: ribosomal RNA, 198 nt
Filed under: uncultured bacterium
Lineage: Bacteria
Description: partial 16S ribosomal RNA
Rfam family: Bacterial small subunit ribosomal RNA
Source: RNAcentral